UAAUCCUUUCAGAAACCCUUAGUUGAAAGUCGAAACACCACGUGCGUGACGCUGUUGCUCCUGGCCUGCGCAAUGAUCUCCGAUCUUCUUGCGUUCUCCGAUGAUCUUCUCCGGUGACAUCUCAUCCGGCGUCGAUCUCCUUCGGCGACAUCUUCUACAGCGGCGAUCUCCUCUAGUGACGUCUCCUCCAGCUUCCUCUCCUUGUCGACCUCUGUGUCUUCUCCACCAAAAUCAUCAACACCUUCCUUUCCUUCCUUCUUUCCUUCCUUUCCUUUCCUUUAAUUUCCUUUCUCUAUGAUAAGUCUCUCUUUUAAGGCCAUUUGCGAGGAUUCAUCGCGAGUGGAGAAGUCGAUUCCGCCAUUUGCGCAGUAAGAUCAACAACAAUUUGUGUUCCACUGCUCUGCCACCGCUGACGUUCCUCCAUUUCUCUGCUUGGUGCCUUUGCUGCUGUCCCUCACUCUUCCAAAGGGUUUCAAAAAAUGGAAUGAAGGAUUCUAUAAAUUAUCAACUCAUUUCUCCAAAAGAUCUAGCAAAGUUUGUUUUAUCUGAAGUCGGCUCGUCAACUUUUAUGGGAAGAGCACACUCUUGAAUCAUUUGUUUUAUACCAAUUUCCAAGAGAUGAACGCUGAUGCUGGAAGGCAAGUAAUUCUUGUUUAAAACAACCGAAGGAAUCUGGAUUGCUCGGUGUGCAGGCAUUAAGCCUUGCACACUUGUGUUGGAUUUGGAGUGAACUGAUGGAAAAGAGCAGGGAGAAAAGGUGCUCUCUCUCUCUCUCUCAAAUUUUAAAAUAUUAAUUUUUUAUAAAUUAUAAAUACAUGGUGUUAUGAUUCUUGACAAAUUGAAUUAAAAAAUUAGAUACUCUUUUGUUGAGAUUUUUUUCCGUUAGUUAAAGCUUUCAUAUUUAUAUUUGAGUUAAAAUUUUGGCUGCAAGAGUUGCCCUAUAUUAGCUUGAGCAUUUUAUUUAAUUUUGAUGUAUUAAAAUAUUAUUAGUCUACUGUUUAUCUGGGAAAUAGAAAUGCUUAAUUUUGAUCGG
Non-coding RNA from Arachis ipaensis, 1033 nucleotides. NCBI's taxonomy places the organism in Eukaryota, Viridiplantae, Streptophyta, Magnoliopsida, Fabales, Fabaceae. The record is from RefSeq and is a predicted model, not a curated record.